ACUGAGUAUUUUUUAUCAUUGUUGUGGUUAAAAAGUUUCUAGCUGUGGUUAAAUUUAGCUCUUUUGUGAGUAUGGAAAUCAGUGGGACAGUCACUUGUCAUUGGUGCGUUCUGCUCCAUAUUUGUAAUUAGAGUAUAUUGAUUGAGUGGUAAUCAAAUCUAAACGCUAACAGUAAUUUCUGGGUUUGUUAAAGCAUGAGUGUUCUUUGCUGUGCUUUUUUUCAAGAAUUUCUUGCGAAAGGAAUUUUUUAGGCAGUAGAGAUACUUACUUUGUAAAUGUCCUAACAAAUCAGUCUUGAUUAAUGUUCUAUUACCACAUUCAAUUUUUAUUGGGAUUCAUUGAUAGGGAAUGAGGUUUUUGAAUUUCCAAUAUAGAUGGAAAACAAGUUGAUUUCAAUGGUAUGAUUAUAGUAAUAGUGAAAUGUUUUGAUUAUAAUUGGACGGACGGAAGCGAAAGCGAUUGAAAAUAACUUUUUCGUCGG
RNAcentral lists this ribosomal RNA (481 nucleotides) under uncultured eukaryote. Its description in RNAcentral is "partial 18S ribosomal RNA". The record is from RNAcentral.